Non-coding RNA from Cinara cedri, 211 nucleotides. Lineage: Eukaryota; Metazoa; Arthropoda; Insecta; Hemiptera; Aphididae. The record is from the annotation of a GenBank genome assembly.
CUUAUAAUGAAGCUUUUUUGUUGAUUUUAAGUGGCUAUAUACCUCUCGAACCAUCUGCUAAUCAAGUUUGGGGAGGGGGAAAUAUCAACGUACACCUUUGUGCACCUACUUCAAUAUAAAAGGGGAAACUUUUUCGAAGUACACGGUUCGUGUUUUGUUCGUUUUUCUACACAAAAAUCAAACACACCAUCUGUAUGUCUCAAUAACUCUG